This 2324-nucleotide non-coding RNA is filed under the name Anodonthyla emilei. Its description in RNAcentral is "partial contains 12S ribosomal RNA, tRNA-Val, and 16S ribosomal RNA". The stretch from base 1 to 892 matches the Rfam family "Bacterial small subunit ribosomal RNA". Lineage: Eukaryota; Metazoa; Chordata; Amphibia; Anura; Microhylidae. The record is from RNAcentral.
UCUCAACUGUUACUCAACUUACACAUGCAAGUAUCCGCACACCCGUGAAAACGCCCUUUCCCCCUCCAACAGGAUAAGGAGCCGGUAUCAGGCACGAUACCCUGCCCAUGACACCUAGCCACGCCACGCCCCCAAGGGCCCUCAGCAGUGAUAAAUAUUGUCAAUAAGCGCCAGCUUGACUCAGUCAGAGUAAAUUAGAGCCGGCCAACUCGGUGCCAGCCGCCGCGGCUACCCCGUUCGGCUCAAGUUGACGUUAUCGGCGUUAAGCGUGGUUAGAGCAACACAAAUGUUAGUAUUAAACCCGGACUAAGUCGUUAAAUGCCUGCCCUCGGGAAGCCCACACACGAAAGUUAUCCUAAAACACUCGAACCCACGACAGUUGGGGCACAAACUGGGAUUAGAUACCCCACUAUGCCCAACCGUAAAAUAUCAACUCACACCCACACCCGCCAGGGGAUUACGAGCCCAAUCUUAAAACCCUAAGGACUUGACGGUGUCCCACCCACCUAGAGGAGCCUGUUCUAUAAUCGAUACCCCCCGAUACACCCCACCACUUCUAGCGUAUCAGUCUGUAUACCUCCGUCUUCAGCUCGCCGUGUGAACGCUUGCAGCGGGCAAAAAGAUUCAUCACCAAUACGUCAGGUCAAGGUGCAACUUACGAAGUGGGAAGCAAUGGGCUACAAUUUCUAUCCGUAGAACACACGAAAAACUGCGUGCAAUACAGUUUAUGAAGGUGGAUUUAGCAGUAAAAAGAAAAUAGAGAGUUCUUUUAAAUCCGGCCCUGGGACGCGUACACACCGCCCGUCACCCUCUUCAAGUACUGUUCGUCUCGAGAAGAGGCAAGUCGUAACAUGGUAAGUGUACUGGAAAGUGCGCUUGGACAACAAACCGUAGCUUAUUCAAAGCAUCUCGCUUACACCGAGAAAGAUGUCCCCUAAAGACCGGCUUGAGCCCUAACCUCAGCCCUACCCUACCCCACAACACCCUUCUACAAAAUAAAACAUUUUCUCAUACUAAGUAAAGGCGAUUAAAAAGUUCUCAGGAGCUACAGCAACAGUACCGCAAGGGAAACAUGAAAUAGUAAUGAAAAUUAAAGCACAACAAAGCAAAGUUUCAACCUUGUACCUUUUGCAUCAUGGUCUCGCUAGUUAAACCAAGCAAAACGCACUUCAAGUUUGACCCCCCGAAACUAGACGAGCUACUUUUAAACAGCCUUUCAGGGCCAACCCGUCUCCGUAGCAAAGGAGUGGGAAGAUUUAACAGUAGAGGUGACACGCCUAUCGAGCCUAGAGAUAGCUGGUUAUUUAGGAAAAGGAUCUGAGUCCACCUUUAAGUUUUCUUAGUAUACCUAACCCUGCCCGAAACUUAAAAGCCAUUCAAAUAAGGUACAGCCUAUUUGAGUAAGGAAACAGCCUGCAACACAGGGUAAUGCCCGGCUUCAUGUGACCAGGUGGGCCUAAAAGCAGCCAACCUCCAAAAAGCGUUCAAGCUUCACCACUAGCCGUUAAUAAUUCCAUUAUCACCCCACAACCCCCCUACACAACUAAAUAAUCCCCUAUAAUUAUGGGAAAUAUUAUGCUAGAACCAGUAACAAGAAGUAGCCCUUCUCCUAAAUGCAAGCGUAAGUCAGAAAUGAACAACUCACUGACACUUACCGCCACUAAACCCACCGUAGCAACUACCUACAAGAAAAUACUACCCCCCCCGGCGUUAACCUUACACCAGAGCAUUCCAGGAACGAUAAAAAGGAGGGGAAGGAACUCGGCAACUAUUAGCUCCGCCUGUUUACCAAAAACAUCGCCUCCUGUAAACUAUACGAGGUCCAGCCUGCCCAGUGACAAAGUUCAACGGCCGCGGUACCCUGACCGUGCGAAGGUAGCAUAAUCACUUGUUCCUUAAAUAGGGACUAGUAUCAACGGCAUCACGAGAGCUAUACUGUCUCCCCCACCCCAUCAGUGAAACUGAUCCCCUCGUGAAGAAGCGAGGAUAUUACCAUAAGACGAGAAGACCCCAUGGAGCUUUAAACUUGCACCACUGCCUCCUCAUACACCAAAAUAACCCAGGCAACAUGGCAGCUAGUCUUUCGGCUGGGGCGACCACGGAGAAAAACAGAACCUCCAUGAUGAAUGGGGCCACCCCUAAUCAAAGAGCCACUGCUCUAAGAAUCAAUAAAUUGACGUAUUGACCCAAAAAUUUGAUCAACGAACCAAGUUACCCUGGGGAUAACAGCGCAAUCCAUUUCAAGAGACCCCAUCGACAAAUGGGCUUACGACCUCGAUGUUGGAUCAGGGUAUCCUGGUGGUGCAGCCGCUACCAAGGGUUCG